UGGCCGGUGGCCAAGCGGCAAGGCAGCGGGCUUUGGACCCGCGAUCGUAGGUUCGAAUCCUACCCGGCCAACCA
This 74-nucleotide transfer RNA is filed under the name Candidatus Poribacteria bacterium. Its description in RNAcentral is "tRNA-Gln". It matches the Rfam family "tRNA". Rfam says of the family: Transfer RNA (tRNA) molecules are approximately 80 nucleotides in length. Lineage: Bacteria; Candidatus Poribacteria. The record is from RNAcentral.